RNAcentral lists this non-coding RNA (257 nucleotides) under Peptacetobacter hiranonis. Its description in RNAcentral is "Clostridium hiranonis T-box sequence". It matches the Rfam family "T-box leader". From Rfam's summary of the family: Uncharged tRNA acts as the effector for transcription antitermination of genes in the T-box leader family. Lineage: Bacteria; Bacillati; Bacillota; Clostridia; Peptostreptococcales; Peptostreptococcaceae. The record is from RNAcentral.
GUAAAUUCUUUGACGAGGAAGAGUAACUGUUUUUAGGUUCAAUACAGAGAGUUGACGUUGGUGAGAGUCAGCAAGAAGGAAAAUAGUGAAUGGGCCUUAGAGAACCGGAUUGAAAUAUUUUUAAAGUAGACUCCGGCGUUUGGUGUACGUUACAACACACAGAAUAUGUUAGUAUUCUUACAGAGAUGUAUUUCUUGUAUAAUUUUACAAGAUAUACGAAUUUAGGUGGCAACGCGAAUUAAUACUUCGUCCUAUAU